GGCUUUAUAGUCAAUGGAUGAUGUUAGAAUGCAAUUCUGAAGUAGUAUAUUUUAUACUAAAGCCU
This 65-nucleotide transfer RNA is filed under the name Tuxedo elongatus. RNAcentral describes it as "tRNA-Cys". The record is from RNAcentral. Lineage: Eukaryota; Metazoa; Arthropoda; Insecta; Hemiptera; Miridae.